GACGAACGCUGGCGGCGUGCUUAACACAUGCAAGUCGAGCGGUAAGGCCCUUUCGGGGGUACACGAGCGGCGAACGGGUGAGUAACACGUGGGUGACCUGCCUUUAGCUCUGGGAUAAGCCUGGGAAACCGGGUCUAAUACCGGAUAUGACUCCGCGGCGCAUGUUGUGGGGUGGAAAGCCUUGUGCGGCUGGAGAUGGGCCCGCGGCCUAUCAGCUUGUGGUGGGUGAUGGCCUACCAAGGCGACGACGGGUAGCCGGCCUGAGAGGGCGACCGGCCACACUGGGACUGAGACACGGCCCAGACU
This 306-nucleotide ribosomal RNA is filed under the name uncultured bacterium. RNAcentral's name for it is "bacterial SSU rRNA". It matches the Rfam family "Bacterial small subunit ribosomal RNA", at positions 28 to 337 of the family's 1533-position model. The record is from RNAcentral.